This 568-nucleotide long non-coding RNA is filed under the name Bos taurus (domestic cattle). RNAcentral's name for it is "long non-coding RNA NONBTAT017853". The record is from RNAcentral. Lineage: Eukaryota; Metazoa; Chordata; Mammalia; Artiodactyla; Bovidae.
GAACAGUGGAGCAUUUGAAAAAAAGUAGCUUUUCCAGGGAAAAGUGAGAAGACACAACUCCUACGCCCAAUGCAAAAAGCUCAAUAUGGGGUCCUUAGUGCCGUGAUACUUCUGUCUGACCUAGAAUUACCUUCCCUAAUCUACUCCCUUCUUAAGUCCCACAAACACUAUCUACAUCUCGCUUUGAUCCAAACUUAGUUUCUUUUGAUUAGCUGUUUACUGUUUUCUUAAUUUCCCAAAUUUGAUGUGUUUUAUGCGUUUACUAGGUUAAGCUCUAUAGGGACAAACUGGUUGAGGCCUUUCUGCCACACUAUCUAAACCAACCCAACCAAAGGAACCCCUUUCUCCCUCUGGAGGAUUAACUAAGUUAAUCCUCAGACAUCUACCUCCCAUAUCCUCUACCUUCUGGGACCAGCCCUCACUUAUCUAUCACUAGCAGAGGAAAAGAAUAUCAGAGAUAAAUCACAGUGAGAGAAAAUAUCAGAAAGAUUCAAACAAGAGAUCAAUGACGGGAGGGAGAGGGGGAAAUUAGAUAUCAUAAUUAACAUUCUAUUUGCAGGUUAGCCAU